Molecule: non-coding RNA, 135 nt
Organism: Triticum urartu
Lineage: Eukaryota; Viridiplantae; Streptophyta; Magnoliopsida; Poales; Poaceae
Source: Rfam
UACGUACUCCCUCCGUCCGGAAAUACUUGUCACCAAAAUAAAUAAAAAAGAAUGUAUCUGGAUGUAUUUUAGUUCUAGAUUCAUCCCUUUUUAUUCAUUUUGAUGACAAAUAUUUUUGAACGGAGAGAGUAUGUU